Molecule: ribosomal RNA, 313 nt
Filed under: uncultured eukaryote
Lineage: Eukaryota
Description: partial 18S ribosomal RNA
Rfam family: Eukaryotic small subunit ribosomal RNA
Source: RNAcentral
CCCUUAGAUGUUCUGGGCUGCACGCGCGCUACACUGAAGCGUUCAACGAGUAUUCACCUUGCCCGGGAGGGUUGGGUAAUCUUUUGAAAACGCUUCGUGAUGGGGAUAGAUUAUUGCAAUUAUUAAUCUUCAACGAGGAAUUCCUAGUAAGCGCAGGUCAUUACCCUGCGUCGAUUAAGUCCCUGCCCUUUGUACACACCGCCCGUCGCUCCUACCGAUUCGAGUGAUCCGGUGAACCUUUUGGACCGAGACUGCUUGCAGACUUGGGAAAUCAAGUAAACCACGUCACUUAGAGGAAGGAGAAGUCGUAACA